RNAcentral lists this ribosomal RNA (691 nucleotides) under uncultured bacterium. RNAcentral's name for it is "partial 16S ribosomal RNA". It matches the Rfam family "Bacterial small subunit ribosomal RNA", at positions 62 to 751 of the family's 1533-position model. The record is from RNAcentral.
UCGAACGGAACUACUCCGAUGAGAAUCUUCGGAAAGGAUUUGGUUUAGUUUAGUGGCGGACGGGUGAGUAACGCGUGGGUAACCUGCCCUAUACAGGGGGAUAACAGUUGGAAACGACUGUUAAUACCGCAUAAGCGCACAGGAGCGCAUGCUCCGGUGUGAAAAACUCCGGUGGUAUAGGAUGGACCCGCGUCUGAUUAGCUGGUUGGCGGGGUAACGGCCCACCAAGGCGACGAUCAGUAGCCGGCCUGAGAGGGUGAACGGCCACAUUGGGACUGAGACACGGCCCAAACUCCUACCGGAGGCAGCAGUGGGGAAUAUUGCACAAUGGGGGAAACCCUGAUGCAGCGACCCCGCAUGAGCGAAGAAUUUUUCUCCCCCCCAAAAACUCUAUCAGCAGGGAAGAAAAUGACAAAAAAAAACUUUUUUGCCCCGGCUAAGGGGGGGCCAAAAACCGCGGUAAUACGUAGGGGGCAAGCGUUAUCCGGAUUUACUGGGUGUAAAGGGAGCGCACCUCCCCCGCCNNNUCCCCCGUGAAAGCCCGGGGCUCAACCCCGGGACUGCCCCCCCAACUGUCGUGCUGGAGUGUCGGAGGGGCAAGUGGAAUUCCUAGUGUAGCGGUGAAAUGCGUAGAUUUUUUGGAAAACACCAGUGGCGAAGGCGGCUUGCUGGACGACAACUGACGCUGAGG